AUGAAGAACGUAGCGAAAUGCGAUACUUGGUGUGAAUUGCAGAAUCCCGUGAACCAUCGAGUCUUUGAACGCAAGUUGCGCCCGGAGCCGUGAGGCCGAGGGCACGCC
RNAcentral lists this ribosomal RNA (108 nucleotides) under Stratiotes aloides. RNAcentral describes it as "5.8S ribosomal RNA". It matches the Rfam family "5.8S ribosomal RNA", at positions 36 to 141 of the family's 154-position model. From Rfam's summary of the family: 5.8S ribosomal RNA (5.8S rRNA) is a component of the large subunit of the eukaryotic ribosome. It is transcribed by RNA polymerase I as part of the 45S precursor that also contains 18S and 28S rRNA. The record is from RNAcentral. Lineage: Eukaryota; Viridiplantae; Streptophyta; Magnoliopsida; Alismatales; Hydrocharitaceae. RNAcentral also lists the same sequence under 1 other name.